Molecule: transfer RNA, 76 nt
Filed under: Jonesia denitrificans
Lineage: Bacteria; Bacillati; Actinomycetota; Actinomycetes; Micrococcales; Jonesiaceae
Also listed under: 2 other names
Description: tRNA-Arg(acg)
Rfam family: tRNA
About the family: Transfer RNA (tRNA) molecules are approximately 80 nucleotides in length. Their secondary structure includes four short double-helical elements and three loops (D, anti-codon, and T loops). Further hydrogen bonds mediate the characteristic L-shaped molecular structure. tRNAs have two regions of fundamental functional importance: the anti-codon, which is responsible for specific mRNA codon recognition, and the 3' end, to which the tRNAs corresponding amino acid is attached (by aminoacyl-tRNA synthetases). tRNAs cope with the degeneracy of the genetic code in two manners: having more than one tRNA (with a specific anti-codon) for a particular amino acid; and 'wobble' base-pairing, i.e. permitting non-standard base-pairing at the 3rd anti-codon position.
Source: RNAcentral
GCGUUCGUAGCUCAACGGAUAGAGCAUCUGACUACGGAUCAGAAGGUUGGGGGUUCGAAUCCCUCCGAGCGCACCA